AGAGUUUGUUCCUGGCUCAGGAUGAACGCUAGCGGCAGGCUUAACACAUGCAAGUCGAGGGGCAGCGGGGAGGAAGCUUGCUUUCUCCGCCGGCGACCGGCGCACGGGUGAGUAACACGUAUGCAACCUGCCCCUGUCAGGGGGACAACCCGCCGAAAGGCGGGCUAAACCCGCGUACAUGCCACCGGGGCAUCCCGGAGGCAGGAAAGGCUUCGGCCGGACAGGGAUGGGCAUGCGGCGCAUUAGGCAGUAGGCGGGGUAACGGCCCACCUAACCGACGAUGCGUAGGGGUUCUGAGAGGAAGGUCCCCCACACUGGUACUGAGACACGGACCAGACUCCUACGGGAGGCAGCAGUGAGGAAUAUUGGUCAAUGGUCGGGAGACUGAACCAGCCAAGCCGCGUGAGGGAGGAAGGUACAGAGUAUCGUAAACCUCUUUUGUCAGGGAACAAAGACUGGGACGCGUCCCCGGAUGAGUGUACCUGAAGAAAAAGCAUCGGCUAACUCCGUGCCAGCAGCCGCGGUAAUACGGAGGAUGCGAGCGUUAUCCGGAUUUAUUGGGUUUAAAGGGUGCGCAGGCGGUCUGUUAAGUCAGCGGUCAAAGCCCGGGGCUCAACCCCGGCCCGCCGUUGAAACUGGCAGUCUCGAGUUGGAGAGAAGUAUGCGGAAUGCGCGGUGUAGCGGUGAAAUGCAUAGAUAUCGCGCAGAACUCCGAUUGCGAAGGCAGCAUGCCGGCUCCACACUGACGCUGAGGCACGAAAGCGUGGGUAUCGAACAGGAUUAGAUACCCUGGUAGUCCACGCAGUAAACGAUGAAUGCUGGCUGUCCGGGGGGACUGACCCCUGGGUGGCGAAGCGAAAGCGAUAAGCAUACCACCUGGGGAGUACGCCGGCAACGGUGAAACUCAAAGGAAUUGACGGGGGCCCGCACAAGCGGAGGAACAUGUGGUUUAAUUCGAUGAUACGCGAGGAACCUUACCCGGGCUCAAACGGGGAGUGGCGCAGGCAGAGACGCCUGUUUCCCACGGGACACUCCCCGAGGUGCUGCAUGGUUGUCGUCAGCUCGUGCCGUGAGGUGUCGGCUUAAGUGCCAUAACGAGCGCAACCCCCGCGUGCAGUUGCUAACAGUCAACGCUGAGGACUCUGCACGGACUGCCGGCGCAAGCCGCGAGGAAGGCGGGGAUGACGUCAAAUCAGCACGGCCCUUACGUCCGGGGCGACACACGUGUUACAAUGGGUGGUACAGCGGGAAGCCAGGCGGCGACGCCGAGCGGAACCCGAAAUCCACUCUCAGUUCGGAUCGGAGUCUGCAACCCGACUCCGUGAAGCUGGAUUCGCUAGUAAUCGCGCAUCAGCCAUGGCGCGGUGAAUACGUUCCCGGGCCUUGUACUCACCGCCCGUCA
RNAcentral lists this ribosomal RNA (1402 nucleotides) under uncultured bacterium. RNAcentral describes it as "16S ribosomal RNA". It matches the Rfam family "Bacterial small subunit ribosomal RNA". The record is from RNAcentral.